This 345-nucleotide unclassified non-coding RNA is filed under the name soil metagenome. RNAcentral's name for it is "partial contains 5.8S ribosomal RNA, internal transcribed spacer 2, and large subunit ribosomal RNA". The stretch from base 1 to 119 matches the Rfam family "5.8S ribosomal RNA", at positions 35 to 154 of the family's 154-position model. The record is from RNAcentral.
GAUGAAGAACGUAGCGAAAUGCGAUACGUAAUGUGAAUUGCAAAUUCAGUGAAUCAUCGAGUCUUUGAACGCACAUUGCGCCCCCUGGUAUUCCGGGGGGCAUGCCUGUCCGAGCGUCAUUGCUGCCCUCAAGCACGGCUUGUGUGUUGGGCCCCGUCCUCCGAUCCCGGGGGACGGGCCCGAAAGGCAGCGGCGGCACCGCGUCCGGUCCUCGAGCGUAUGGGGCUUUGUCACCCGCUCUGUAGGCCCGGCCGGCGCUUGACGAUCAACCCAAAUUUUUAUCCAGGUUGACCUCGGAUCAGGUAGGGAUACCCGCUGAACUUAAGCAUAUCAAUAAGCGGAGGA